This 497-nucleotide ribosomal RNA is filed under the name uncultured bacterium. Its description in RNAcentral is "partial 16S ribosomal RNA". It matches the Rfam family "Bacterial small subunit ribosomal RNA", at positions 28 to 507 of the family's 1533-position model. The record is from RNAcentral.
GAUGAACGCUGGCGGCGUGCCUAAUACAUGCAAGUCGAGCGAACAGACGAGGAGCUUGCUCCUUUGACGUUAGCGGCGGACGGGUGAGUAACACGUGGGUAACCUACCUAUAAGACUGGGACAACUUCGGGAAACCGGAGCUAAUACCGGAUAAUAUUUCGAACCGCAUGGUUCGAUAGUGAAAGAUGGCUUUGCUAUCACUUAUAGAUGGACCUGCGCCGUAUUAGCUAGUUGGUAAGGUAACGGCUUACCAAGGCAACGAUACGUAGCCGACCUGAGAGGGUGAUCGGCCACACUGGAACUGAGACACGGUCCAGACUCCUACGGGAGGCAGCAGUAGGGAAUCUUCCGCAAUGGGCGAAAGCCUGACGGAGCAACGCCGCGUGAGUGAUGAAGGUCUUCGGAUCGUAAAACUCUGUUAUUAGGGAAGAACAAACGUGUAAGUAACUGUGCACGUCUUGACGGUACCUAAUCAGAAAGCCACGGCUAGCUACGUG